GAACGCUGGCGGCGUGCUUAACACAUGCAAGUCGAGCGGAAAGGCCCUUCGGGGUACUCGAGCGGCGAACGGGUGAGUAACACGUGAGCAACCUGCCCUAGGCUUUGGGAUAACCCCGGGAAACCGGGGCUAAUACCGAAUAUGACCUUUCCUCGCAUGAGGGAAGGUGGAAAGUUUUUCGGCCUGGGAUGGGCUCGCGGCCUAUCAGCUUGUUGGUGGGGUGAUGGCCUACCAAGGCGACGACGGGUAGCCGGCCUGAGAGGGCGACCGGCCACACUGGGACUGAGACACGGCCCAGACUCCUACGGGAGGCAGCAGUGGGGAAUAUUGCACAAUGGGCGGAAGCCUGAUGCAGCGACGCCGCGUGAGGGAUGACGGCCUUCGGGUUGUAAACCUCUUUCAGCAGGGACGAAGCGUAAGUGACGGUACCUGCAGAAGAAGCGCCGGCCAACUACGUGCCAGCAGCCGCGGUAAGACGUAGGGCGCGAGCGUUGUCCGGAUUUAUUGGGCGUAAAGAGCUCGUAGGCGGC
RNAcentral lists this ribosomal RNA (530 nucleotides) under Micromonospora halotolerans. RNAcentral's name for it is "bacterial SSU rRNA". It matches the Rfam family "Bacterial small subunit ribosomal RNA", at positions 31 to 579 of the family's 1533-position model. The record is from RNAcentral. Lineage: Bacteria; Bacillati; Actinomycetota; Actinomycetes; Micromonosporales; Micromonosporaceae.